RNAcentral lists this ribosomal RNA (497 nucleotides) under uncultured bacterium. Its description in RNAcentral is "partial 16S ribosomal RNA". It matches the Rfam family "Bacterial small subunit ribosomal RNA", at positions 28 to 507 of the family's 1533-position model. The record is from RNAcentral.
GAUGAACGCUGGCGGCGUGCCUAAUACAUGCAAGUCGAGCGAACAGACGAGGGGCUUGCUCCUCUGACGAUAGCCGCACGCGGGUGAGAAACGCGUGGAUCCCGUACCUAUGAGACUGAGAUCACUUCGAAACGACUGCUCUAAUCCCGUAUAAUAUCUUCACCCGCUUGGUUCAAUGGUAAAAGACGGAUUUGCUGUCAGAUAUAGACGGAUCCGCGCCGCUUGAGCUAGUUGGUAAGGUCCCGGCUUACCAAGGCAACGAUGCGAACGGCACAUGAGAGGGUGAUCGGCCAGACGGGAACUGAGACACGGUCCAGACUCCGACGGGAGGAAGCAGUAGGGAAUCUUCCGGAAUGGGCGAAAGCCUGACGGAGCAACGCCGCGUGAGUGAUGAAGGUCUUAGGAUCGUAAAACUCUGUUAUUAGGGAAGAACAAAUGUGUAAGUAACUAGGCAGGUCUUGACGGUACCUAAUCAGAAAGCCACGGCUAACUACGUG